AGUGAACGCUGGCGGUAGGCCUAACACAUGCAAGUCGAACGGCAGCACAGUAAGAGCUUGCUCUUACGGGUGGCGAGUGGCGGACGGGUGAGGAAUACAUCGGAAUCUACUUUUUCGUGGGGGAUAACGUAGGGAAACUUACGCUAAUACCGCAUGCGACCUACGGGUGAAAGCAGGGGAUCUUCGGACCUUGGGCGAUUGAAUGAGCCGAUGUCGGAUUAGCUAGUUGGCGGGGUAAAGGCCCACCAAGGCGACGAUCCGUAGCUGGUCUGAGAGGAUGAUCAGCCACACUGGAACUGAGACACGGUCCAGACUCCUACGGGAGGCAGCAGUGGGGAAUAUUGGACAAUGGGCGCAAGCCUGAUCCAGCCAUACCGCGUGGGUGAAGAAGGCCUUCGGGUUGUAAAGCCCUUUUGUUGGGAAAGAAAAGCAGCAGGUUAAUACCCCGCUGUUCUGACGGUACCCAAAGAAUAAGCACCGGCUAACUUCGUG
RNAcentral lists this ribosomal RNA (492 nucleotides) under uncultured bacterium. Its description in RNAcentral is "partial 16S ribosomal RNA". It matches the Rfam family "Bacterial small subunit ribosomal RNA", at positions 29 to 507 of the family's 1533-position model. The record is from RNAcentral.